CCGCACAAGCGGUGGAGCAUGUGGUUUAAUUCGACGCAACGCGAAGAACCUUACCAGGGCUUGACAUCCCCUGACCGCGUAUGAAAGUACGUUUUCACCCUCGGGUGACAGGGAGACAGGUGGUGCAUGGUUGUCGUCAGCUCGUGUCGUGAGAUGUUGGGUUAAGUCCCCGCAACGAGCGCAACCCCUACGUUUAGUUGCUAACGCGUGAAGGCGAGCACUCUAGACGAACUGCCGUUGACAAAACGGAGGAAGGUGGGGAUGACGUCAAAUCAUCAUGCCCCUUAUGUUCUGGGCUACACACGUGCUACAAUGGCCGGUACAGACGGACGCAAAGCCGCGAGGUGGAGCAAAUCCUAAAAAGCCGGUCUCAGUUCGGAUUGCAGGCUGCAAUUCGCCUGCAUGAAGUCGGAAUCGCUAGUAAUCGCAGGUCAGCAUACUGCGGUGAAUACGUUCCCGGGCCUU
RNAcentral lists this ribosomal RNA (465 nucleotides) under uncultured Pelotomaculum sp. RNAcentral's name for it is "bacterial SSU rRNA". It matches the Rfam family "Bacterial small subunit ribosomal RNA", at positions 921 to 1382 of the family's 1533-position model. Lineage: Bacteria; Bacillati; Bacillota; Clostridia; Eubacteriales; Desulfotomaculaceae. The record is from RNAcentral.